AGGCAUCCGAGCUACAUACGUUCGCGAGCUACGACGGGUGAAGGUGAAGGUGCCGUGUGCACUUUCACAACGGGUUCGAUAGUUUUGCGAUAAUGAGGUGCUUUCGAACGCAGGGCCAAUGCAGGCUAACGAAAGAAAUCUGACAAAACUCUAAUUUGCACCUAAUAAAAAAUUACUCUUCCUCUGUCGAGAUACGAGAUCGUUGUAUAAAGACAGGCACAGUUGGACAGAUAGACAGACGGUGAUUUAUAUACAUAUACAUGGCGCAUAAAGUAGAGAACAAGAAUACAUUAAAUUAUAUUACGAAUGUAAAACAAGUAUGUGUGUUAGUAUUACUAUUCGAAAUAAAAUAAAAAAAUAAAUAAAUAAGAAGUAGAUAUAAAUACUUAAUCACGGUAGGUAGCUUGUCUGGUAUCGAGAACAAAAAGUCCAAAUAAAUAAAUAAAUAAAUAAAUAAUGACUACAAAAAAUA
Molecule: long non-coding RNA, 472 nt
Filed under: Polistes fuscatus (common paper wasp)
Lineage: Eukaryota; Metazoa; Arthropoda; Insecta; Hymenoptera; Vespidae
Description: uncharacterized LOC122516098
Source: RNAcentral